Scylla paramamosain (green mud crab) is the source of this 2024-nucleotide long non-coding RNA. RefSeq lists it as uncharacterized. The transcript has 8 exons. NCBI's taxonomy places the organism in Eukaryota, Metazoa, Arthropoda, Malacostraca, Decapoda, Portunidae. The record is from RefSeq and is a predicted model, not a curated record.
AGCAAUUGAGUGGCAUAUCCCGGCAUACCAGAUACCGGAAAUAAAGAAAGGUAUGAGAAAGACUCGAAGCAGUGAACCUCGAGAACGAACCGAGUCCCAGAUUGGCCAGGCGGAGGUCCCACGCUGGCGUCACCACUCGAGGGACGAGGCGCCGCGCGGUCACGUGGAUAUCUGAAUUGCGCGUUAAUCACCUCAGUAAUUGAACACCGGUGUCAUUAGUUUGUGUAGUGGUCGUUAAUUGUACUUUGCAGUAGUGCAGGCAAAGGAAGCGUUAGACUCUCUAGCUUCCAUGGAGCUGACUUUGCCGUGGGUACUGAGCGCUGGCAGCAGGGAGUGUGGUGCUGGAGGCCUGGUGUUCCCUGUCGUGAGUUACUCCGUGGCGACGCCGGACAGCAGUAGGAGCGAGAACAAGCCAGCGCCAAGUACACGAGUUGGGACGAAAAGAUGCCGUGACGCAGUAUGCCUCUGCUGAAUCUGCUCUCGUGGACAGUGAUCUGCCGCAAGAGGGAGGAUGUACGUGAGUUUUGUCCUGCAGCGGAAUUCCGGACAACGCAGGUGUUUGGGAGAGUGGAUGAUCAGCCAGGACUGAGUGGAAGCUGCUGACUCUCAGGAGUGACCUGUGUGGUGCAGGACUGUAGUGGUUAUGCAGUCUCUUGUUUUAACGAGAGAGACAUUGUGGAGGAGGUUGGCAAGUGCUCUCAACACAUGUGACGGACCGGCGCCAUGGUAACUGUGACCGUGGCCAGGAAGUCUCUUGUGGUACACUGCAAUGUUGUGUUAUCAAGACUGUGUAUUGGUGCAACGCAUACAGUCGGAUCACUAAGCGUGUUGUAGUGAUGAAACUAUUGCGAGUGAUUAUUGAUCGUUCGAAAAAAAAACUAGUGCUUGAGUUACACCACCGCCAUAACCACCGCCACCACCGCCGCUACUAAGAGCUAAGUUUGUCAUCGCUAAAGUGGAGUGUUGUGGCGCGGUUAGUGUCUACCUCAAAACAUCACCAGGGACACAGUCAGCCACAACAACGAAAAGACUGCACUACAGAGGCGAGGCGGCGGCGUGCAGGGAGGCAAGGAAGGAAGGAAGGAAGGAAGUUAAACAAGCUUUGCCUGGAAGCUUUUGGUGCAGCGUUGGAAGGUUAAGUGUGUACUCCUGUGGAUAUGUUUGCAUCACAGCCAUUCAGGUACGAGUAAAUUAACUCUUGUCUCGGGAAAACAAAUCAGUAUUACGUACCUCUGUGUGUGAGCCUCCGUGUCUUCUGGCUCCGUACUGAGGAUUUCGCAUGAUUACCUAUAAAGUGUGGCUACUGCGAGGCGCUGCUGGCCUUCACACUCCAUCCCCUGCGCCCUCCUGUCAUUACAUCGCCUUUCCAGCGAAGGCAUUACUGCGAUGGUUAUGCGGCUUUUGAGGGGAGUAGCAGCCGCCCAUCGCUGGGAAGGACGCGCCUCACCCUGGCGGCCCUGCUCGGUCCCUUCCACGACUCGCAGCGAGAGAGAGAGGUCGAGGUGCGGUGGUCUCGUGGCGGAAGCCUGAAGAAGGCGGUGAAGGAGUGAAGGUGUGAAGUGUGCAGCUUCCACUUCAUCAUCCCAUGUUGCAGUAAGAAGAGUGUGUCAAGAAUUUCAAGCAGGAAGAACACGUAAAAUUCCCUUCAAGUCAUGGCGGGACCGACAGGCAACCUUCAACACUUGUGGAGGCACGAGAGCUGCAGGCAGUUUCACAAAGAAGAGGUUGCUCCUCACUCAAGUUGAUGCAAGGACACAAGAAUUGGCAAGUGUUGUUGCUCCCAGGCCCUGCUGCAAGAGUUCUCCAGUCCACUCCAGUCUGGGAAGGAAGAAUGUAGCAAGUCCUUCUCUUCUGUACUCAACAACCACCACCACCACCUUCAUUCAGGCUUGGGAUAAGUUUUGUACAUUCCAGCACUUCAGUAAUAAGGAAAAAAAGUGCCAUGUUUAUAUUAUUGUUGUGUAUUUAUUCACUUAACAUUCACAUUAAAACAAUAAACAUUCAGUAUACCAUCUUGAACAUAA